AAAUGGGAGCUUUGCUCCUGGAUUCAGCGGCGGACGGGUGAGUAAUGCCUAGGAAUCUGCCUGGUAGUGGGGGACAACGUUUCGAAAGGAACGCUAAUACCGCAUACGUCCUACGGGAGAAAGCAGGGGACCUUCGGGCCUUGCGCUAUCAGAUGAGCCUAGGUCGGAUUAGCUAGUUGGUGAGGUAAUGGCUCACCAAGGCGACGAUCCGUAACUGGUCUGAGAGGAUGAUCAGUCACACUGGAACUGAGACACGGUCCAGACUCCUACGGGAGGCAGCAGUGGGGAAUAUUGGACAAUGGGCGAAAGCCUGAUCCAGCCAUGCCGCGUGUGUGAAGAAGGUCUUCGGAUUGUAAAGCACUUUAAGUUGGGAGGAAGGGUUGUAGAUUAAUACUCUGCAAUUUUGACGUUACCGACAGAAUAAGCACCGGCUAACUCUGUGCCAGCAGCCGCGGUGAAA
This 460-nucleotide ribosomal RNA is filed under the name Pseudomonas parafulva. Its description in RNAcentral is "bacterial SSU rRNA". It matches the Rfam family "Bacterial small subunit ribosomal RNA", at positions 69 to 525 of the family's 1533-position model. Lineage: Bacteria; Pseudomonadati; Pseudomonadota; Gammaproteobacteria; Pseudomonadales; Pseudomonadaceae. The record is from RNAcentral.